This is a long non-coding RNA of Solea solea (common sole), 2773 nucleotides long. RefSeq lists it as uncharacterized. The transcript is spliced from 2 exons. The record is from RefSeq and is a predicted model, not a curated record. Lineage: Eukaryota; Metazoa; Chordata; Actinopteri; Pleuronectiformes; Soleidae.
GCUUUCAUCAGAUUACUUCAAGAUGAGUCAAGGCACUUUAUUUGUACCUGGGGGUAGAUUUGCUUUGGCAGUCACACGAUAGAGGCAUCCUCUCGACACACAGACCACAGACACCACAUGUUGCCAUGAUAAUUGCAUUAAAAUGGUCUGUCUACUCCUGUUUAAGUCUGUGCGAGUGCAUUGUGAUUUGUUGUUGUCAGUCAGGGGUGACAGAGGUUUUCAGGUAUUCCGGUUCAUGCUGGAUCAGGUCCAGAUUUCUCAGAAAAGGCAGGUAUGAGAAAGGAAUGAAAUUGGCGAGAAAGAGAGAGAGAGAGCCAGCGAAUUUGAAAUAGAGCUGCUAAUCUGAGCACCCACAGUAUACUGUUUAUUCAAUCACAUUACAGUAAGAGACAUACAGUGUUCUAAGAUGCUGCUGUUAUGUAUAAUAUAAUGUAUAUAUGCAGUUACCAAUAAAUAAAUAAGCAGCAAUUUAUAUCUUAAAUAUGACUGAGCCAAAUACAUUGUAAAAUAGUCAACAGAUGAUGUUUUGUAUCUGAGAUAAUCAAAGACAUUGCAUUGAAAACUGGAUUGAGAAUGUGUUAAAAGACUACAACCCACAGCAUUAACAAAAAAAAAAUAGCCUACCCCUAUUGUAAGGAGCAGAUGGUACAUCCCUGUCUCUCCUCCUCCUCCUCCUCCCUCCGCCUUCCAGUGUCCUCCAUCUCUUUGCUUUCCCUCAUUUUGCUAUAAUAAGGACACAGUGACUUCCUGAGACUGUCGUGGUUUCCUCCUCCAUCUGUUACUCUUGUUAUCUCUGCAGAGGCUGUUGGAGAGUGAAGCAGCACAGACCUGACCGUGAAUAAAGACCACUCCUGACCAGACCACACCUCUGUCCCUGAGUCCAUGGAAGCCAAGGCCAAGUCCGGGACUCCAGCGUCCAAGACGGCAUCUAAAGCAGAGAAGAAGGAGCCGGUGGUCAAUCGCAAGGCUGAGCCUGCGCCUGCACCAGCGGCGCCUGAGCCUGAGCACCCACCAACCCAGGAUGGAGCAGCAGAGGCUGAGGCUGCAGCAGCAGCAGCAGCAGCAGGUGAAGAGGCAGCGGCUUCCGGCACAGACUCGCUGGAACACCUGAAACCCUUUCUCAUUGGUGGUGCCAUUAUUGCUGCAGGAGCCAUCUUGCUGGGAGCAUUGCUACUGGCGAGGAGAAAUUAGAGCAUCCAUGCUGAUUGGUUCAUAGACAGACUACCAUGGUGCAGAUGGGGGAAGGGGAGCCACUGUUAUAUAGUUGUUUAUUUUUUGGAGGGGGUGGUAUUUCUUUUUUUGGGCUUGCUUUCAUCCAUUUAAACAAUUCAGGUUCUGAUCCAUGCUGUAUAUUAAGCAGAAUUACUCAUAGCAUAUGCAUGAAAUUGCUUCAAAACUGCUUCAGAACUAUAAUAUUCCAUUGCUUGAAGAAGAAAAAAAAAAAAAACUCGCUAUACUGAGCUUUUAAAACCUCUCUGCACAUAGACUUUGCCACUGCUUUAUCUCGUUUAAUCCCGUUUGCACAAAUAUUGACAAUAUCUUGCAAUAUUUGAACAUUCUUGACUCGGAACUUUUCUAAAAAAGAUCGUGAAAAAUGUUGAGAUCUAUACGGGCUGAUUGGAAUUGUUCGAGGGUUUAUUUACUUUUAAAAGAGAGAAAUUACAGACCUGGAGGGGAAAUGUGCAUUGUGAUGUAUUGCACAUUUUGUGGCUGAAUCAGAGCCCAGUUUCUCAAUCUAUAGAAUACCAGAAGAGAGACAAAUGUCCCUGCAUAUCCCCCCAAAAAGGUCCAGUGCAGUGCAGAAACAGACUAUAUAAAUAUACAGUGGUGUAGAAAUGGGACAUAGGGAAUUGUUGGAGACAAAAAAAAAGGUACAGAAUAACAGCAGAGUUGUGUCUUAAUGUAGAAUAAGGAAGAGUUUUAGUUUACUAUAAAAGAAAUCAAUAACCUUUCAUGUCGUACACCAUAACCACAGUCAAACUUAGGUACUUAGCUGUAGCAGCCUUCUGUGUGGAAGUAUCAGGUUUAACACCUGCUGCCAAAAACACAGGAGCUGUUUCUGUUUUCACUGUGCUCGCUGGGCGUCCUACACCACAACAAUACAACAAUACAACACCAGUCCACUGUAGAAAUGAACUACUGUUGUAUAGUUUUCAAAGGGUAACAGUCACAAUUUUGUCGCUGUGUCCCCGUCACCUGUACAGCCACACAACACUGUCCACGCUCAUGUAAACCUCACGGUUAUGUCCCUGUUGCAUAAGUACACAUGAACAUAUAUGACACGAGCAUUCCACGAUCACUAUUCAACAGCCCAGACACAUCCGAGAAUAGUAUACCAACACCGAAACGAACUUCACCUUACAUUGUACUUUACAGUGUACCAAGAAAAAAAAAAGAAAAAGAAAAAGAAAAGAAAAACCCAAUUUUCAUAAAUUCAACAGCGUAUAAAUGCAAUAAUUCAGAUAGGACUCAUCAUUUAGCACCUGUGCUGUAGCAAGUUAAAUGGCAUAAAUGAUGACACGAUAAAAAAAAAGAGAAAAAACUGUUGGUGAUUAUAAUGACAACAGAGACGUGAUGUUCCGAAUGGUGGUGAUGAUGAUGUUGGUAAUGAUGCUGUUUUUCAUGACUGUAAUGAUACUAAUGAUGGUUGUGUUAUAUUUUUGAUAUAUUUCUAACAUUAUCCUUAUGCGCGCUCCCCACUGCCCCCUCAACUCCAACAUGUAAAAAGAAAAAAGGCUGUAAUUUAAACCUUUAUUAAAGGCAGUGAACCAGU